This 369-nucleotide unclassified non-coding RNA is filed under the name Hevea brasiliensis (rubber tree). Lineage: Eukaryota; Viridiplantae; Streptophyta; Magnoliopsida; Malpighiales; Euphorbiaceae. The record is from RNAcentral.
UGGCUUCUCAAAUUUCAGAUAAAAAGAGAACAAAGAAAACAAAGAAACGAAGCAGAGUUGAAUCAGAAGAAUUUGAGCGAAUCAACUCACUUAAUUGGAAUCCAACACUUACAGAGAAAGAUGAUGCCUUCUCUUUCCUUAUUGGCUCGAAUGAGCUUGAAGGAGGUUUUUUAUGUCUUGAAGAGAUCGAUGAAUCAGAGUACAAUUUGGGUAUUGCCAAAUCAUCUGGUGGAAGUGAAGAAAAGGGGAAGACAAAACCGAAGAAACAGAAAGUAGAUACAAAAAAUGAGGAAUUGAAUGGUGAAGCUAAGGGUGAGAGCAAAGAGGAGAUUGAAGAGGUGGAAAAGGAAACGAAACAAAAGAAGAAAA